Molecule: unclassified non-coding RNA, 2596 nt
Filed under: Fusarium oxysporum f. sp. dianthi
Lineage: Eukaryota; Fungi; Ascomycota; Sordariomycetes; Hypocreales; Nectriaceae
Description: partial contains 28S ribosomal RNA, 28S-18S ribosomal RNA intergenic spacer, and 18S ribosomal RNA
Rfam family: Eukaryotic large subunit ribosomal RNA (bases 1-271)
Source: RNAcentral
CUGAACGCCUCUAAGUCAGAAUCCAUGCCAGAACGCGGUGAUACCACCCGCACGUAUAGAUGGACAAGAAUAGGCUUCGGCUUAGCGUCUUAGCAGGCGAUUCUUCCACGGCGCUCGAAGCGCGUCGUGGUAUUUCGCGUAUUGUAAUUUCAACACGAGCGGGGUCAAAUCCUUUGCAGACGACUUAGCUGUGCGAAACGGUCCUGUAAGCAGUAGAGUAGCCUUGUUGUUACGAUCUGCUGAGGGUAAGCCGUCCUUCGCCUCGAUUUCCCCAAUGGGUUCUCCGGAUUUCUGGAGACUUGUAGGGGUUGUGGGUUUUUUCGAUGUGUCGUCUCCGGACGGGCGGUGCAGGGUAGUCGAGUUAGACUUGGUGGAAUUCGAUUCCGUCGAGUAUGGCUGGCACGAUCGUGUGCGGUUGUGUGUUGGACGGUGCAGGGUAGGCUGCUUGGACAUGGUCGGUUCGAGGAUCGAUUCGAGGGCCGGCCUGUCGAUGAUGUGUGAUGUAUGCGGUCUAGGGUAGGCUGGUUUGUCUUGGUCCAAUUUGAUGUCGGCUCCCGUGCAGGCUAGAGUGAGGGGGGUCCAGGGUAGGUACAGGGUAGGCAGCUUAGAUUUGGUCGAUCUGGAGGUCGAUUCUCCGGCUGGUGGAUCUGACCCUGUCGAAACGAGAUGCGAGCGGUGUAGGGUAGGCUAGUUUCGUCCUCGCCAGGUUGCGAUUUGGACGAGAUAUGUGGUCUAGGGUAGGCUCUAGGGUAAGUAGAAUUCGAGUUUCGUCGCCGACAGUUUUCUGUGGGUGUAUGGUAGGUACAGGGUAGGCAAAACUCUCUCCGGCCAGUACUUGUCUGGUGGUCGUGAGUCGAUUUUUUUGUUUUGCCAUACUAUUGAAUUUUGCGGAAAUUCAAAAGUGGCUCGGGAGUCCCGCCUGGCGUGCGUCCGACUCGAACAUCGUCGGUGUACAUAUGAGAGGGAGUAAUCCGGCCCGGCCGGGGCCCAUCGCGAGCUGCCGGGUAGGUAAAAGUAAAAAAGUUGUUAAGAGGCGCGGUGUCGGCGUGCUUGUAUUUGCGGGAGAGAAUUAUCUGGAGGUGCUGGGUAGCCGGGAAGACUUGGACGGAUCUGGCCCGGGAAUGGGUCUGGGCCUGGAUUCUGGUGUGGUGUAGGAUAGGCGUAGAUAGAUGAGUGGUCUAGGGUAGAUACAGGGUAGCCAGAAGUCUGGUAUAUAGUGUGGGGGGUGUAGGGUAGGUCUGGACACCGUUUUCCACUUCGCCCUUCCCUUUACUCGAGGGAGGACGAUCUUGGCUGGGAUGGAGGUGUAGGGUAGGCUUAAUUUACGAUUACAUGAUCUGUGUCACUCUAGGGUAGGUGAAAAUCCCAUAUAUAUCUGAUCACAUUUGGAGAAGAGGUGGUUUGGCUGGUGAGAUGGACAAAAGUGCAAUGUAGAAUUAUAUGUGAUUUUGCAAAAGUGGGUGUGAAAUUGGGAAAUCGGUUUCCCCGCACAGAUGAGAGCACGUUUGAGGUGCCAUGAGAUGCACCUCUCCGAGACGACCUCAACGGUACCACCGAUGUGUUGGUCCGGCUCCUGUGCGGCCGUCCAGGGCGGGAUAUGUAGAGAAUGUGGUGGUGUAGGGUAGGUGGCCAGGUCCAGGGUAGGUUCUCCAAAUCCGUCAAUCCGGCUUGAAUCGAAGGACAGGUCUAGGGUAGGCCAGAGUCGGGUCUAGGGUAGGCAGCUCUCACCCUCGAAGUGGUCUACCCGGUAGUCAACUUCAAUCGCCUCUCACGGCCGCCACGGACCUCGCAUGACGACAGGACCACCACCAUCGGAUUUGCCUUGGUCGAAAUAGUCGGUAUAUGCACUUUUGCAAAAAUGCGUGCAAAAUGGUUUUGUGGUUUGGUGGUCGUGAGUCGAUUUUUUUGUUUUCCCAUACAAAUGAAUUUUGCGGAAAAUAAAAAGUGGCCCACGAAGCAGUUCUGGCGUGCGGCCCACUAAAACGGUCUCGGAGGGUAUAUGAGAAGGGAGCAAAUCCGGCCGAGCCUGAAAGGGUGAGGACAAACCGGGCGAGCAACCUCUCAGUAUCAGAUCUUGCAGACUUCCACUGCGUGUCCCUCUGUACAGCUUUGCAGGCUCCGGCCUCGGCAGCGGGGGGUUCAUAGUGGUCGUCGACCUCCACGAAACUGCACGCUCCGGCGUGACAGCGUACUGGGGAUGCCUGUGUAGAUGCAGUCCGGGCUUGCCUGGACCGCUAGCAGAUGGGCUCUGUGGAUGACUGGCCGCUGGCUAGACCUGAAACCUGAGCAACGGGAGGUAACCUCUCGCCGCGGACACCGGAAUGGUAGAAGCGGCGUGCUGCGUCCUCCUCUUGGGGCCCCUAAGCCACACCUCCCAUAGCGGGUUCGGUGCGGCGGACGGACGCCCUGGGGAAUUUAGAGGGGGAAAGCGGAUUGCCCUAGCGGUGUUGUUGGCCCUGCCGACCUCACUGCGAAAGGCGCGACUUCACCGUCGCCACCCAGUAACUUGUCUCUCCGGCGCUUCACGGCGCUGGUGGCCAACCCCGGCACACGAUAGUUACCUGGUUGAUUCUGCCAGUAGUCAUAUGCUUGUCUC